UACGUAGGGUGCAAGCGUUGUUCGGAAUCACUGGGCGUAAAGGGCGCGUAGGCGGCCUUUGGUGUCGGAUGUGAAAGCCCGGGGCUCAACUCCGGAGGUGCAUCCGAAACUCAAAGGCUGGAGGCCGGAAGAGGAGGGUGGAAUACCCAGUGUAGAGGUGAAAUUCGUAGAUAUUGGGUGGAACACCGGUGGCGAAAGCGGCUCUCUGGUCCGGUCCUGACGCUGAGGCGCGAAAGCGUGGGGAGCAAACAGG
RNAcentral lists this ribosomal RNA (253 nucleotides) under uncultured bacterium. Its description in RNAcentral is "partial 16S ribosomal RNA". It matches the Rfam family "Bacterial small subunit ribosomal RNA", at positions 524 to 776 of the family's 1533-position model. The record is from RNAcentral.